Molecule: long non-coding RNA, 448 nt
Organism: Felis catus (domestic cat)
Lineage: Eukaryota; Metazoa; Chordata; Mammalia; Carnivora; Felidae
Exons: 2
Source: RefSeq, a predicted model, not a curated record
AAUGGACAGAUCGAGCCCUGAGUUGUACUGUUACCGGUUCCCGUGGCGUAACGACUCCCGCCGUGGCCGAUUUCAGGCUGCCGACUAGAAGUCACUCCGCCCGGCCUUGGGGACAGACGCGCAGCGGCAGACAGGUAAGGCACAACUCUGCAAAGUCGCCCUCUCUAACCUCCAUCUCAAGAGGUGCCCAGUGGUGGCAGUCCCUGCAGAAUCCAGUCUGCGUCUUGAUCGAACCUUAAUCAGUACAUCGCACCCGUUUCACGCGUUGGUGACACUGCCGGUGCCAUCCCGUUGGCCGACCCUUCACCAGGGGGAGUAGCAUUUGUAUGCUUGGGUUCAGUCUGAGAUGGUCAGCGCCUCUGAGAACUGAGCUUGGCCCUUCAGCAACAUGCAUGGGGCCACUUACACGUGGAUUUUUUUUUUCAACAAAUAUAGCACAGUACUGCAA